This 164-nucleotide small RNA is filed under the name Bacillus sp. (in: firmicutes). RNAcentral describes it as "Bacillus sp. Magnesium sequence". It matches the Rfam family "M-box riboswitch aptamer (ykoK leader)". From Rfam's summary of the family: M-box riboswitch, also know as ykoK leader is described as a metaloregulatory RNA that sense divalent metals and function as a genetic control element of genes related to divalent metal transport in bacteria. It was first reported upstream of the B.subtilis ykoK gene and genes with related functions in other bacteria. The record is from RNAcentral. RNAcentral also lists the same sequence under 1 other name. Lineage: Bacteria; Bacillati; Bacillota; Bacilli; Caryophanales; Bacillaceae.
GAUUAUUUUAGUUAGAUGAGGCUCCUAUGCUGGAGAUAUGCUGCUCCUAGAAACGUUCAAAGACGCCAAUGGGUCAACAGGAACCAUCGACAUAAGGUGUUUUUUAUGUAGCUGGAACAUGCUAAACCGCAUAGUGCAAAAGCUCAACGAUUGCUGAAUUGUAU